Molecule: unclassified non-coding RNA, 2604 nt
Filed under: Hevea brasiliensis (rubber tree)
Lineage: Eukaryota; Viridiplantae; Streptophyta; Magnoliopsida; Malpighiales; Euphorbiaceae
Source: RNAcentral
GAAAUGAUAAGAAAAAUCUCUGAUUAAACCCUCGCUCUUUCUAUGUCACAAGAAUCGUCUUCGGAAGGUUUCUGGUUGGUUUGCCUCUGCGAUUACUCUCCAUGUCGAUCAGAGCAGUGAAAGUCAGCAAUGUUUCCUUGGGUGCAACAGAGCCAGAUAUAAAGGAGUUCUUUUCUUUUUCCGGUGAAAUUGAUUAUGUCGAGUUGCAUAGUGACAAUGAGCGAUCUCAAGUAGCAUAUGUCACCUUCAGAGAUCCACAAGGGGCAGAGACUGCUGUUCUUCUUUCGGUGCAUUUACAUCUUAAUGCUUUUCAAGCCCUUUUGUUUUACCUUAUUUUUAUCAAAUUAACUGAUCAUCUGUACAAUUUGAUUGAUAUGUGCUUAUGAUAAUAUGAUAGUUGGUAGAUUUUUAGCCCUCAUUCUUGCUGAAUCAUUUUACGAGGGUUAUGAUAAAUCUUACACCUUAGACAAAUCAGGAUUAUGCUUCCACCAUUCUCUUAAGAAUACUUCUGCAAAAUUGUAGCUAAGUUGUUGCUAUUUUCUGCUAGAUGGCUUAAUUAAUAUUCAUCACUGAAACUAUUGUCUUCUAUUGUUUCUUGAAGUAAUGUAUUAUUGGUCACAAGAAAUGUGUCGCUGCUUUUGAAAACAGAUUUGUGAUUAUUGGGGUUACGAAUUUCUGAAAGUUGCCCUAGUUAGUCAAUUUGGCAAGACCUUGAAAAUGGUUCUUUUUCAUCCAAAUACAAAUUUAACCUUCAAAAUCUGACACAGGUUUUAGCUGUAACAUAUGCCUUGUUUUGAAGCUGUUUUAUGUGUAUCACCAUAUGGACUGAUACUUGAUUCAUACUAUCUAUUGUUAGACUAUGCCUUCCUGUAGCUUUUUCUUGUUAAAAUACCUAGUCUCAGAAACCUAUUGUAAGAUACCCUAUGGAGAUAUAAAUUUGGCCUGUGCGUGUCUUGCUCUUUUGAUUUCCAUUUUAUUUAUUUGUGUGUUGUUGGGAACUUGUUUUGCUGAAAAGUUGACACAAAGAUUACAUAUAAUCCAUCUUUCUGCACUUACCAUAGUAAAAUAGUCUUGUUGAAUGAUGUUUCAUGAUUUAAGCUUGCCUGCCAUUUGCAUUGUGGUCUAAAGCCAAUAGGAUUAAUUAUUUGCCAUUCUGUUCUCAGUCAUUUAUAACCUUUUGCUUUGUCAACUUGUAGUUAAUCUUGCACUGGUUCUAGGAUUUCGCAUUAUCUAUGGGGGUUUGAUGCCAUUUAAUGCUUGUCACUUGGUUUAUUAGCUUCCCCCUUUCGUAUUUUGUUCUGUUUUUCCUGCAAAUUAAAAGAGGUUGGCUUACUUAAUUUUACUGUUCAUGAACAUCCUACAAAGUUAUAGUCUAAUAUGAAGAACCUAAUGCUUAUAUUUGGUCCAUUAAUUUUUUUUUUUUAUAUUCAUCUCUUCUUCUCUCACGUGUUUUCUUUUUAUUUUAUUUAUUCUGAUAGAUAUCAGAUUUUCUUUUAAUUUUAGUUUUGCUUGUGAUUAGCUCUUCUAUUUUGCCCCACCAAUUUUCUGUUUCAACUUGUCUCAUAUGAUUAAUCUGCUUGGUAUUUUCAGGGGGCGACUAUAGUUGAUCAGUCAGUCACAAUAGAACUGGAUCCAGGUUACAAGCUGCCUGCUGCUGCUUCAGUCCCCACUACUGUAAUACCAUUUAUUGAGCCAUUAAGAAUAAAUUUUAAUAGUAUUAAAACAAUUAUUUUCAGUUUUACUUGUUAAAUAAUUUCCAAUAUCACGAAUUGUAUGAUCCCACAGGCAACAAAGAAUACAAGUGCUUCUGGUGCUGAAUCUGCUAUGCAGAAGGCUGAGGAUAUUGUAAGCACCAUGCUUGCUAAGGGCUUCAUUCUAGGAAAAGAUGCUCUCAACCAAGCAAAGGCUUUUGAUGAGAAGCACCAGUUCACGUCAACUGCCACCUCUAAAGUUGCUUCUUUGGAUCAAAAAAUUGGUUUGAGUCAGAAAAUUAGUGCUGGCACAAUCCUUGUAAAUGACAAAGUGAGGGAAGUGGAUGAGAAGUUUCGAGUUUCUGAGACAACAAAGUCAGCCUUCGCAGCUGCUGAGGAGACAGUCAGUAAUGCUGGAUCUGCAAUCAUGAAGAACCGUUAUGUGUUAACAGGGGCUUCAUGGGUUACUGGUGCAUUCAACAGAGUUGCUAAGGCAGCUGGGGACGUGGGUCAGAAGACAAAAGAGAAGGUUUUGGCUGAGGAGCACCAGAGUCGAAGAGCAGAAGGAUAUACCCAAAUUCAUGAGUUUGACUCUCCAAAUAUGAGUGAGCAAAUGUCCAAGAGCUCGCAUUAACGAGGUUUGGUCUUUUGAUUAGCCAAUGUUCGUGUAGAUAUCUUCAUAGAGAGUUUGGAUCUCAUCAUGUGAACAUUACCUGUGCUUUCCUAAAGUUUGGAAAUAGUUGGUGAAUGGCGUUGUCAAACUUCGCGGGCAUGUUUGUGAUGAACAAAAACAGCAGCUUAUGGCUUUUUUGUUUCCCGCAAUUAUCUCUACUUGAUAUUGUUAUGUAAUAACUGUUUCAAAGCAAUCUUUUAUUAUGGGAUUUUUUUGGGGGAUUAUAAAUAUGGAUUUCAG